CCUACGGGAGGCAGCAGUGGGGAAUAUUGCACAAUGGGGGAAACCCUGAUGCAGCGACGCCGCGUGAGUGAAGAAGUAAUUCGUUAUGUAAAGCUCUAUCAGCAGGGAAGAAAAUGACGGUACCUGAGUAAGAAGCUCCGGCUAACUACGUGCCAGCAGCCGCGGUAAUACGUAGGGGGCAAGCGUUAUCCGGAUUUACUGGGUGUAAAGGGGGCGUAGACGGCAGUGCAAGUCUGGAGUGAAAGGCGGGGGCUCAACCCCCGGACUGCUCUGGAAACUGUACGGCUGGAGUGCAGGAGAGGUAAGUGGAAUUCCUAGUGUAGCGGUGAAAUGCGUAGAUAUUAGGAGGAACACCAGUGGCGAAGGCGGUUUACUGGACUGUAACUGACGUUGAGGCUCGAAAGCGUGGGGAGCAAACAGGAUUAGAUACCCCGGUAGUC
Molecule: ribosomal RNA, 440 nt
Filed under: uncultured bacterium
Lineage: Bacteria
Description: partial 16S ribosomal RNA
Rfam family: Bacterial small subunit ribosomal RNA
Source: RNAcentral